This 1476-nucleotide ribosomal RNA is filed under the name Lactiplantibacillus plantarum. RNAcentral describes it as "bacterial SSU rRNA". It matches the Rfam family "Bacterial small subunit ribosomal RNA". The record is from RNAcentral. Lineage: Bacteria; Bacillati; Bacillota; Bacilli; Lactobacillales; Lactobacillaceae.
GGCAGUGGCGGGGUGCUAUACAUGCAAGUCGAACGAACUCUGGUAUUGAUUGGUGCUUGCAUCAUGAUUUACAUUUGAGUGAGUGGCGAACUGGUGAGUAACACGUGGGAAACCUGCCCAGAAGCGGGGGAUAACACCUGGAAACAGAUGCUAAUACCGCAUAACAACUUGGACCGCAUGGUCCGAGCUUGAAAGAUGGCUUCGGCUAUCACUUUUGGAUGGUCCCGCGGCGUAUUAGCUAGAUGGUGGGGUAACGGCUCACCAUGGCAAUGAUACGUAGCCGACCUGAGAGGGUAAUCGGCCACAUUGGGACUGAGACACGGCCCAAACUCCUACGGGAGGCAGCAGUAGGGAAUCUUCCACAAUGGACGAAAGUCUGAUGGAGCAACGCCGCGUGAGUGAAGAAGGGUUUCGGCUCGUAAAACUCUGUUGUUAAAGAAGAACAUAUCUGAGAGUAACUGUUCAGGUAUUGACGGUAUUUAACCAGAAAGCCACGGCUAACUACGUGCCAGCAGCCGCGGUAAUACGUAGGUGGCAAGCGUUGUCCGGAUUUAUUGGGCGUAAAGCGAGCGCAGGCGGUUUUUUAAGUCUGAUGUGAAAGCCUUCGGCUCAACCGAAGAAGUGCAUCGGAAACUGGGAAACUUGAGUGCAGAAGAGGACAGUGGAACUCCAUGUGUAGCGGUGAAAUGCGUAGAUAUAUGGAAGAACACCAGUGGCGAAGGCGGCUGUCUGGUCUGUAACUGACGCUGAGGCUCGAAAGUAUGGGUAGCAAACAGGAUUAGAUACCCUGGUAGUCCAUACCGUAAACGAUGAAUGCUAAGUGUUGGAGGGUUUCCGCCCUUCAGUGCUGCAGCUAACGCAUUAAGCAUUCCGCCUGGGGAGUACGGCCGCAAGGCUGAAACUCAAAGGAAUUGACGGGGGCCCGCACAAGCGGUGGAGCAUGUGGUUUAAUUCGAAGCUACGCGAAGAACCUUACCAGGUCUUGACAUACUAUGCAAAUCUAAGAGAUUAGACGUUCCCUUCGGGGACAUGGAUACAGGUGGUGCAUGGUUGUCGUCAGCUCGUGUCGUGAGAUGUUGGGUUAAGUCCCGCAACGAGCGCAACCCUUAUUAUCAGUUGCCAGCAUUAAGUUGGGCACUCUGGUGAGACUGCCGGUGACAAACCGGAGGAAGGUGGGGAUGACGUCAAAUCAUCAUGCCCCUUAUGACCUGGGCUACACACGUGCUACAAUGGAUGGUACAACGAGUUGCGAACUCGCGAGAGUAAGCUAAUCUCUUAAAGCCAUUCUCAGUUCGGAUUGUAGGCUGCAACUCGCCUACAUGAAGUCGGAAUCGCUAGUAAUCGCGGAUCAGCAUGCCGCGGUGAAUACGUUCCCGGGCCUUGUACACACCGCCCGUCACACCAUGAGAGUUUGUAACACCCAAAGUCGGUGGGGUAACCUUUUAGGAACCAGCCGCCUAAAGGUGGACCAAAAUG